This 253-nucleotide ribosomal RNA is filed under the name uncultured bacterium. Its description in RNAcentral is "partial 16S ribosomal RNA". It matches the Rfam family "Bacterial small subunit ribosomal RNA", at positions 524 to 776 of the family's 1533-position model. The record is from RNAcentral.
UACGGAAGGGGCGAGCGUUGUUCGGAAUCAUUGGGCGUAAAGGGCGCGUAGGUGGCUCUGUAUGUCUACUGUGAAAGCGUACGGCUCAACCGUAUCUUGUCGGUAGAAACUGCAGGACUUGAGGCUGGGAGGGGCUGGUGGAAUUCCCUGUGUAGCGGUGAAAUGCGUAGAGAUGGGGGAGAACACUCGUGGCGAAGGCGGCCAGCUAGACCAGUUCUGACACUGAGGCGCGACAGCGUGGGGAGCAAACAGG